Molecule: long non-coding RNA, 470 nt
Organism: Octopus sinensis (East Asian common octopus)
Lineage: Eukaryota; Metazoa; Mollusca; Cephalopoda; Octopoda; Octopodidae
Exons: 3
Source: RefSeq, a predicted model, not a curated record
AUGAGUGACGAGCUAACGUCCCCAACUGCCAUUUUCCAUGUAGCACAGAACACAAUUGGAAGACCACGAAAUUAUGGUCCGUCAAAGCAGGAGAUCGAACGUCUUCGGAUUGAGGAAGCGAUCAAUCGAGAAAAAACAGUACAAAAAGAAAUCGAAGCACUCGAAGUCCAAAAAAUAGAAGAAGCAAAUUCCAGAAGAUUCAAAAUUGCCGAAUGGAAUAAAAAACUAGACGACUUGAGGACAGAGGAAAGGGAAUUAAUUCAAACACGUUCCAUCCCACUGAGAAAUUAUUUAAUGAGUCACGUGAUGCCCACUUUAACUGAAGCACUCAUAAACUGUUGCAAAUUAAGGCCAGAUGACCCCAUUGACUAUUUGGUAUUCAUAUUGCUCUAUAAAAUCCAGGCUGAGUAUUUGCUGGCCAAAAACGACCAAGUUGACUGAUAAAUACUAAUACUUACUAACUAACUUAA